Molecule: non-coding RNA, 91 nt
Organism: Acanthosepion pharaonis
Lineage: Eukaryota; Metazoa; Mollusca; Cephalopoda; Sepiida; Sepiidae
Source: the annotation of a GenBank genome assembly
ACACACUUCCGUACGAUCACCGAAGUUAAGCAACGUCGAGUCUGGUCAGUAUCUAGAUGGGUGACCGCUUGGGAAUACCAGGUGCUGUAAG